Molecule: ribosomal RNA, 513 nt
Filed under: uncultured bacterium
Lineage: Bacteria
Description: partial 16S ribosomal RNA
Rfam family: Bacterial small subunit ribosomal RNA
Source: RNAcentral
UGGGGAAUUUUGGACAAUGGGCGCAAGCCUGAUCCAGCCAUGCCGCGUGCGGGAAGAAGGCCUUCGGGUUGUAAACCGCUUUUGUCAGGGAAGAAAUCUUCUGAGUUAAUACCUCGGGAGGAUGACGGUACCUGAAGAAUAAGCACCGGCUAACUACGUGCCAGCAGCCGCGGUAAUACGUAGGGUGCAAGCGUUAAUCGGAAUUACUGGGCGUAAAGCGUGCGCAGGCGGUUUUGUAAGACAGAGGUGAAAUCCCCGGGCUCAACCUGGGAACUGCCUUUGUGACUGCAAGGCUUGAGUGCGGCAGAGGGGGAUGGAAUUCCGCGUGUAGCAGUGAAAUGCGUAGAUAUGCGGAGGAACACCGAUGGCGAAGGCAAUCCCCUGGGCCUGCACUGACGCUCAUGCACGAAAGCGUGGGGAGCAAACAGGAUUAGAUACCCUGGUAGUCCACGCCCUAAACGAUGUCAACUGGUUGUUGGGAAGGUUCCUUCUCAGUAACGUAGCUAACGCGUG